RNAcentral lists this ribosomal RNA (495 nucleotides) under uncultured bacterium. RNAcentral's name for it is "partial 16S ribosomal RNA". It matches the Rfam family "Bacterial small subunit ribosomal RNA", at positions 28 to 523 of the family's 1533-position model. The record is from RNAcentral.
GAUGAACGCUAGCGGGAGGCCUAACACAUGCAAGCCGAGCGGUAUUUGUCUUUCGGGACAGAGAGAGCGGCGUACGGGUGCGGAACACGUGUGCAACCUGCCUUUAUCUGGGGGAUAGCCUUUCGAAAGGAAGAUUAAUACCCCAUAAUAUAAUGAAUGGCAUCAUUUAUUAUUGAAAACUCCGGUGGAUAGAGAUGGGCACGCGCAAGAUUAGAUAGUUGGUGAGGUAACGGCUCACCAAGUCGAUGAUCUUUAGGGGGCCUGAGAGGGUGAUCCCCCACACUGGUACUGAGACACGGACCAGACUCCUACGGGAGGCAGCAGUGAGGAAUAUUGGACAAUGGGUUAGCGCCUGAUCCAGCCAACCCGCGUGAAGGACGACGGCCCUAUGGGUUGUAAACUUCUUUUGUACAGGGAUAAACCUACUCUCGUGAGAGUAGCUGAAGGUACUGUACGAAUAAGCACCGGCUAACUCCGUGCCAGCAGCCGCCGCUG